UGGGGAAUUUUGGACAAUGGGCGCAAGCCUGAUCCAGCCAUGCCGCGUGCGGGAAGAAGGCCUUCGGGUUGUAAACCGCUUUUGUCAGGGAAGAAAUCUUCUGAGUUAAUACCUCGGGAGGAUGACGGUACCUGAAGAAUAAGCACCGGCUAACUACGUGCCAGCAGCCGCGGUAAUACGUAGGGUGCAAGCGUUAAUCGGAAUUACUGGGCGUAAAGCGUGCGCAGGCGGUUUUGUAAGACAGAGGUGAAAUCCCCGGGCUCAACCUGGGAACUGCCUUUGUGACUGCAAGGCUUGAGUGCGGCAGAGGGGGAUGGAAUUCCGCGUGUAGCAGUGAAAUGCGUAGAUAUGCGGAGGAACACCGAUGGCGAAGGCAAUCCCCUGGGCCUGCACUGACGCUCAUGCACGAAAGCGUGGGGAGCAAACAGGAUUAGAUACCCCUGGUAGUCCACGCCCUAAACGAUGUCAACUGGUUGUUGGGAAGGUUCCUUCUCAGUAACGUAGCUAACGCGUGAAGUUGACCGCCUGGGGAGUACGGCCGCAA
Molecule: ribosomal RNA, 544 nt
Filed under: uncultured bacterium
Lineage: Bacteria
Description: partial 16S ribosomal RNA
Rfam family: Bacterial small subunit ribosomal RNA
Source: RNAcentral